CGAGACCCAGCCCCAGACCGGGUCUCCAGCCCAGACAAGCGUCAAGGGAGCGAGAGGGGUUCCCUCAAAAGGGUGCCGAGGUAGGGGCGGCAGGAAGCUGCACGGCUACGUGAGUGAUUGUCAAGUGCUUGACGCUGCAGACAAAUGAAAUUCGCUUAAAGUGCGCCACAGCCGCAGUCGCCGUUGCAGUUAAACUUGGACUAGGGACUAGGGUUCAAGCUGGAGGCAAAGGAAUGCACUUGAAAGAAUAUCGAUUAUGCAGAUAUAGAAAAAAACUUGAAAAUAAUUUAUUUAUAAUAAAAAGAAGUAUUUGGGGAAUAUUUUUUAAUAAUAAAUUUAAGCUUUGGCCCUCGCAAGAAGAAUCAUAAAAUAUAAGCUAAUAAAAUGGACUAGCCCAGUUUCCUUCGGGAUUCUACUUUUUGUCAUGUUCUUUAUAUAUUUUUCAAGUGUUAUUAUCCCUUUUUCUUGAGGUGUAUCUGUGGCUGAAUGCUUGUACCGCAUCCCGUCUGUAGGACAACUUGACUGGCUCACUGUGAGGGGGCGUUGCUGUGACUGAGCGACUGCCGCAAGCCAAAGGCUGAGGCAUGUUUCAGCUUACCCAGCAGACUAGGCUCUUGGUAUAUAUAAGCACUUGAUUAAGGAAAUCCCUUACAGCUCCAACAUACUCCAACAUACCCUAACCGAUUCCAGGGUAUGCCCUGCCGCCUUUGGCUAUCAUGGUUCGUGUGGUUGUUGCCCGAGGCUGAAGCUGUUGCAAAGGUAACGUCAUCAUUCCUGUCGCUGCAUUCCUACCAGCCUCACACCCCCUCUCUUUUAUAGAAAAAAAGGAAAAAAUAUAUAUAUUAUAUAGUAACUAAAGGAGAAAAAUACUCUUUCUUGUUUUUCGCUUUGCUUUCUUUAAUGGAGGCUGCACUCUGCUUCAGCGAAACUGUAAAAUAGAAUCAAGCCAUUCGUCAUGUUGCGGAAAAUGCAUUUUAUUUUCUAUUCGGUCUGGCACAUGCGUGAAAAUUGCUUUAUUUUUAAUGACUCCCACAGAGCGGGAGUGGUAGUGGGAGACAGCUGAUGUUGCAUUUGCAUGGCUCCGAGAUACAAUGCAAUCCGAGCCACGAGAUGGGUGUUAAGCGUUCGUUUUGCGGUUUAUUUAAUACACUUUGCCGUGUGCGCUGCACUUGAACACGGAAACGCAAAAGCGAAGCCAAAUGAAGGCAAAUUGAUUGACACACUGAAAUCUGAAUACUUCUCAACCUAUGUGGACGCUGGAUUCUCCUCGGGAUGCUACUCUGACGCUGUUGUGUUUCACCUCGAGUGUAAAUAAUCGACUGGCUGAACCGGCACUCUUCUUGUUGUGCGGUUUAUGCGUUUUACUUAAUUACCUAUUUGGAAAUUUUAAUGCCCUUUGAUGUGGUAUGUGAGUGGGCUGGAGUAGCAGUGACUGGCUGAUUUUCCCUUCGAUUUUCCAGCCUCCUCACGUCCCAGCCCGCCCUUUGAUGUGGGCGGCUGGGGCCUGACGCGCUCGUUUCCUGUCGCGUGUAGAUAAACCCAUUCCGGCUGUAUAAAUCAAAAUGCAAUUUGUUCUGGGCCAAAAAGGGCAAGAGCUAAUAACUAAACAAACUGCGGGCCACUAAAUCAACGGGUCUCACGAUAAAGCCCAGCCAUCGGAGACGUAGUCCCAGUCGGAGUCUGGAUCUGAGGACAGCGUUUUUUUCUGCGAUGCUGCUUAGAUGAUUAUGAUGUAGUUGUUUCCAGACUAGGGCCUGUUCUGCGGCUUGGGCCUGGGCCUUGUAGGUAGACCAGCGGCGUGUUGCCCAUAAUUUAUUGGCUGACAAAACAAAUUCAUUAUGAAAUGAUAAGCCCAUGAAAAUUGUCAUGUUUAGGCCGAUGAUCAUGAUGACGACCACGGAGACGACGACUACGAGGAUGAUGAUGAUGAUGAUGGCGGCGUCUCGGCAAAGAUGAAGCGCGGAUAUUGGCCACUUGCAGUCGGCAGGCCAAACGUGACAAGCCUUUGGACAAGAAAGUAAAGAGUUCGUGGCGAACAGCGGUCUUAAUAGGCCAGGAAAAAAAGAGAUUUACACUCAGCUUCUGUGAGAAAGGCGAGUUAUUGCUUAACACAUCACGCUAGAAUUUUCCCGAGUCCCAAGGAAAGUCAGUGGAAACCCACAGCUGCAACAGCUGGCGGUGACAGUAACCAGUAACUCGUAGCCAGUAAGCAGCAGUGAGCAGUGAGCACUAACAGUUACACCACAGCCUUGCUCUGGGGCCCUCUAUCUCCGGCAAUGUCAAUGCCAUUUCUAUUUGAAGGCAGCACCCAGCAUCCCCGCUCCUAUGCCAGCUCCAACUCCAUCUACAUCUGCAGCUCCAACUCCAGCUCCCGCUCUAGCAACAGCUCAUAAAAUGCCGGAAUGACAUGAAGCUGACAGGUAGUAGAUUUUCAGCCUCAGCCUGCUGAUUGCGGUUGCCACAGCUGCUCAUCAUCAGCAGCAGCAGAAACAGCAACAGCGGCGGUAAGCAGGCGAGAUGGAGAUGGAGCCGGAGCUGGAGAGUCUUUCAGGCAUUACAAGGCUUUAAUAGACAAGCGCAGCGCAGAGCUGAAUAAGAUUAAUGAAGCCGUUUAAAACGCUUCGGUUGUUUAUCAUGCGGCAUCCCUGAGCUUCCACAGCUUCCUAGGCUUCCCUUAUAGUAUCAGGAGAAGCUAUAGCUUUGGCUCCUGGUCCAACUGUGCCUAAUGUGCCGGGCCAUUCGCCAUUUGGCCAUUAGCCGGAGAGAUGCCGACAGGGCUGCAAUCGCGGCCAGAAGGGCAACGGGCAACGGGCACCGGGCAACA
Molecule: non-coding RNA, 2824 nt
Organism: Drosophila kikkawai
Lineage: Eukaryota; Metazoa; Arthropoda; Insecta; Diptera; Drosophilidae
Source: RefSeq, a predicted model, not a curated record